UACGUAGGGUGCGAGCGUUAAUCGGAAUUACUGGGCGUAAAGCGUGCGCAGGCGGUUUUGUAAGCCAGAUGUGAAAUCCCCGGGCUUAACCUGGGAAUGGCAUUUGGGACUGCAAGGCUGGAGUGCGGCAGAGGAGACUGGAAUUCCUGGUGUAGCAGUGAAAUGCGUAGAUAUCAAGUGGAACACCAGUGGCGAAGGCGAAUCCCUGGAAAAUACCUGACACUGAGGCACGAAAGCUAGGGGAGCAAACAGG
Molecule: ribosomal RNA, 253 nt
Filed under: uncultured bacterium
Lineage: Bacteria
Description: partial 16S ribosomal RNA
Rfam family: Bacterial small subunit ribosomal RNA
Source: RNAcentral